CCUGCCCUAUGAAGAAUUUAAAUGGCCGCAGUAUUCUGACUGUGCAAAGGUAGCAUAAUCAUUUGUUUUUUAAUUGAAAACUGGCAUGAAAGGGGGGACGAAAUAUAAUCUUUUAUUUUUAAAAAGUAAAAUUGACAUAAGGGUCAAAAGGCCCUUAUACACCAGGGGGACGAUAAGACCCUAUAAAACUUAACUUUAAGGCUGGAGAUAAAAUAGAUAGUGCCUCUAUCCUAGAGUUGGGCUGGGGCGGCAUGAAUAUAAACUACUAUAUAUAUAAUAUAUAUUUAUAAAGGAUAAGAGCUUAGAAAAAAAUUAGAGCAAGUUACUUUAGGGAUAACAGUAUAAUUCCUUUAGAGAGUUCUUAUUGACAGGGGAGUUUAUAACCUCGAUGUUGAAUUGGAARACCUUAUGUGGGCAGCGGCAUAUAAAGGCAGUCUGUUCRACUGUUAAAUUUUC
RNAcentral lists this ribosomal RNA (456 nucleotides) under Proasellus boui. RNAcentral's name for it is "partial 16S ribosomal RNA". It matches the Rfam family "Bacterial large subunit ribosomal RNA", at positions 1858 to 2597 of the family's 2925-position model. The record is from RNAcentral. Lineage: Eukaryota; Metazoa; Arthropoda; Malacostraca; Isopoda; Asellidae.